UUUCCCAGUCACGAUAGUGGUACCCUGAGUAGGGCGGGACACGAGGAAUCCUGUCUGAAUCUGCCGGGACCAUCCGGUAAGGCUAAAUACUCCUGAGAGACCGAUAGUGAACCAGUACUGUGAAGGAAAGGUGAAAAGCACUUCGAAUAGAAGAGUGAAAUAGUUCCUGAAACCAUGUGCCUACAAGCGGUCGGAGCAGCCUUGUGCUGUGACGGCGUGCCUUUUGCAUAAUGAACCUACGAGUUACUUUUUCCGGCAAGGUUAAGGGUCUUGAGACCUGCAGCCGAAGCGAAAGCGAGUCUUAACAGGGCGAUUUAGUCGGAAGGAGUAGACGCGAAACCAAGUGAUCUACCCUUGGCCAGGUUGAAGGUUAGGUAACACUAACUGGAGGACCGAACCGAUAAGCGUUGAAAAGCUUCCGGAUGAGUUGAGGGUAGGGGUGAAAGGCUAAUCAAACUUGGAGAUAGCUCGUACUCCCCGAAAUGCAUUUAGGUGCAGCCUUGUUUAUUACUAAUGUGAGGUAGAGCGACUGAUAAGAUGCGAGGGCUUCACCGCCUAUCAAGUCUUGAUAAACUCCGAAUGCGCAUUAGUUUGAGAACAGGAGUGAGGGCGCGGGUGCUAAGGUCCGCGUCCGAGAGGAGAAGAAUCCAGACCAUCAGCUAAGGUCCCCAAAUAACCGCUGAGUUGAACUAACGAAGUCAGAUUGCUAAGACAGCUAGGAUGUUGGCUUGGAAGCAGCCAUUCAUUUAAAGAGUGCGUAACAGCUCACUAGUCGAGGAAUUUGGCGUGGAUAAUAAUCGGGCAUAAGCGGUUUACCGAAGCUAUGGAACCAUUUAUGGUUGGUAGGGGAGCAUUCCACUCUGCGUUGAAGGCGAAGCGUCAGCUUCUCUGGAGCGUGUGGAAACGCAAAUGUAGGUAUAAGUAACGAUAAAGGGGGUGAGAAACCCCCUCGCCGAAAGACUAAGGUUUCCUGAUCAACGCUAAUCGGAUCAGGGUUAGUCGGGUCCUAAGGCUCCGCCGAAAGGCAAUGCCGAUGGCUGAAAUGGUUAAUAUUCCAUUACUACCUUUAAGAGUGAUGUGGGGACGGAGUAGUGACAGUGCCGCGAACUGACGGAAUAGUUCGUUAAAGGGUGUAGAAGUUGAGGAAUGCAGGCAAAUCCACAUUCCGAUUCGAACCUGAUAGUAUGGAGCGUCUUCGGACAAUCCAAUAGUGCAUGUAAUCAGACUUCCAAGAAAAUCCGCUAAACUUAAUCUUCUAGGUACCCGUACCGUAAACGGACACACGUAGUCGGGUUGAAUAUACUAAGGCGCUUGAGUGAAUCACGGUUAAGGAACUAGGCAAAUUGACCCUGUAACUUCGGGAUAAAGGGUCCCUCCUCGCAAGAGAGGGCGCAGAGAAUAGGUCCAGGCAACUGUUUAACAAAAACACAGGGCUGUGCAAAAUCGAAAGAUCACGUAUACAGCCUGACACCUGCCCGGUGCUGGAAGGUUAAGAGGAGAUGUUAUCGCAAGAGACGCAUUGAAUUGAAGCCCCAGUAAACGGCGGCCGUAACUAUAACGGUCCUAAGGUAGCGAAAUUCCUUGUCGGGUAAGUUCCGACCUGCACGAAUGGUGUAAUGAUCUGGACACUGUCUCAACCGUGAGCUCAGUGAAAUUGUAGUAUCGGUGAAGAUGCCGAUUACCCGCGAUGGGACGAAAAGACCCCGUGAACCUUUACUAUAGCUUAACAUUGAAUUUGGGCCAUUGAUGUGUAGGAUAGGUCGGAGACUAUGAAGCGGGUACGCUAGUAUUCGUGGAGUCGCUGUUGAAAUACGACCCUUUGAUUGUUUGAAUUCUAACCCGUUUUUAAUGGGGACACUGUUUGGUGGGUAGUUUGACUGGGGUGGUCGCCUCCAAAAGUGUAACGGAGGCUUCUAAAGGUACCCUCAGGACGAUUGGUAACCGUCCGUAGAGUGUAAUGGCAUAAGGGUGCUUGACUGGGAGACCGACAAGUCGAUCAGGUAGGAAACUAGAGCAUAGUGAUCCGGUGUUUCUGUAUGGAAAGGACAUCGCUCAAAGGAUAAAAGGUACUCCGGGGAUAACAGGCUGAUCCCUCCCAAGAGCUCAUAUCGACGGAGGGGUUUGGCACCUCGAUGUCGGCUCGUCACAUCCUGGGGCUGGAGAAGGUCCCAAGGGUUGGGCUGUUCGCCCAUUAAAGUGGCACGCGAGCUGGGUUCAGAACGUCGUGAGACAGUUCGGUCUCUAU
Molecule: ribosomal RNA, 2245 nt
Filed under: freshwater metagenome
Description: bacterial LSU rRNA
Rfam family: Bacterial large subunit ribosomal RNA
Source: RNAcentral